GCCAGUAUAGAGGUUAUGACCCUUGGCUUGUAACCGAGUAGGCUCGGGUUCGAAUCCCGAAUAAGGCG
RNAcentral lists this transfer RNA (68 nucleotides) under Trichonephila clavata. It matches the Rfam family "tRNA". From Rfam's summary of the family: Transfer RNA (tRNA) molecules are approximately 80 nucleotides in length. Their secondary structure includes four short double-helical elements and three loops (D, anti-codon, and T loops). The record is from Rfam by way of RNAcentral. Lineage: Eukaryota; Metazoa; Arthropoda; Arachnida; Araneae; Nephilidae.